GUAUUCACAUACACUCUACUCUUUUCCAGGGCUGAUGGUUGCUGCAUGAGAAGAUGAGCUUAAGAUACAGCUUAGUGUUAGAAGAAUUGACGUGCAUGCACAAGGCUCUGGGUGCUAUCUCCAACACCACAAGAAAAAAUAAAUACUUAUAGAAAGUUAAGCUUUCUGGCUUACUACCCCUUUCCUUAUGCUGGUGGGGGCGCUGUCCACGGUGCUGAGAAUCUCCUCUCUGGUAGGCAUGGACAGUCUUGGUUCUUUCUCCAUUCAUCCCAGCCUCAAGUGCCUGGUCUUCAGAGGCACUUCAUGAUCCAACAACUUCUAUUUUUUAACUCCAGAUUGUCCUCCACUCUGGAAAAUUUGUUGUUUUUUUGCAAUAGCAACUUUGAAAGGAGCCUCCUGUCUCUUUGGCUUUCCCAAGGACAUUCUGGGAAUAGAAGGGUUCUGCUUCCUCCUUCCCCAGUCUAAAAUUUUAUUUAUUUUGUUAGGCCAUAGAAAUGGAGUUCUCCCAGUUUGACAGAUAUAGGGUUGGCGGCCACCAGAAGCACUGCAAAGAUCCCAGAAGCCUUCCUAAUUGUUCCAGAUGGAUUUUCUGCCUCUGGGAGAAGUUGCUGGAUGAAGAUUCUCAAAGAAACAAACAGCUUUAAAAUGUGUUUUCCACCAAUACACAAGUAUUAGAGACUUACAGGGAGGGCCAGCUGAUCUAUGCCUUUCUUCAUUGGUAGAUCCUCAACUGAGCCCUUUCUUUUAAGUAUCACGAGGUCAGAGAAAUGGAGUGGUACAAUAAAGUUUCUCAACAAAACCCAAGGUCCAUCCUUUAGAAAAGAGAAAUGGGGGGAGAAACUCAGUCACAAAGGAAGGUUUUUAUUCUGAAUCUUUCUUUCUAAAAUCCAAACUCCAUCUUCCCUAGUCUUCUCACAAGGUGUGGAAAUCAGUCUUCUGACACUACUCUCCCCAGCUGAAGGUGUUGGAAAAAGGGACAUGACCCAGUUAACAUUUCAUUGAGAGCCUGUAGGAAUAAAGGAUCCUCAGAGAGGACUAAGUUUAUUUCUCUUUUAAUAGUUAUCCCUUAAUUUAGUCCUACUUCUAGGAAAAGAAAAUUAUAGGCAUCCAAAGUAUAGACCAAUUUUAAUAAUCUCAAUAAAGGAUACCGAUUCAUUUGCUUUCUCUGAAUAUCACAUACUUCCUAAGAAUGAUCUAAGAAAAAAUACAGACUGCAGUUCACACAAACCACAUGUUGAAUUGACCUUUCAUCCCAGGGAUAAAUCUAACUUUUUGAUGAUGAUUAAUCCUUUUCAGGUAUGGUUGAAUUCAGGUUUGCUAAUAUUUUGCUGAGGAUUUUUGCACUUAGUUUCAGCAGGGAUACUGAUCUGUAAUUUUCUUAUCUUGUAGUGUUCUUGUCUGACUUUAGUAUCAUGAUAAUGCUGACCUCAUAAAAAUGGGUUUAGAAUAGUCUUUUCAUUUUUUUGUAAGAGUUUGAGAAGGAUUGAUAUUAGUUCUAAUUUAAAUGUUAGGUGAAAUUCAACAGCAAAUAUAUUAGGUUCUGGGCUUUUCUUUGAUGGGAGACUUUUU
This 1569-nucleotide long non-coding RNA is filed under the name Marmota monax (woodchuck). Lineage: Eukaryota; Metazoa; Chordata; Mammalia; Rodentia; Sciuridae. The record is from RNAcentral.